Molecule: ribosomal RNA, 1479 nt
Filed under: uncultured Bordetella sp.
Lineage: Bacteria; Pseudomonadati; Pseudomonadota; Betaproteobacteria; Burkholderiales; Alcaligenaceae
Description: partial 16S-23S ribosomal RNA intergenic spacer
Rfam family: Bacterial small subunit ribosomal RNA
Source: RNAcentral
GUUUGAUUCUGGCUCAGAUUGAACGCUGGCGGGAUGCUUUACACAUGCAAGUCGAACGGCAGCACGGACUUCGGUCUGGUGGCGAGUGGCGAACGGGUGAGUAAUGUAUCGAAACGUGCCUAGUAGCGGGGGAUAACUACGCGAAAGCGUAGCUAAUACCGCAUACGGCCCUUCGGGGGAAAGCGGGGGGACCUUCGGGCCUCGCACUAUUAGAGCGGCCGAUAUCGGAUUAGCUAGUUGGUGGGGUAACGGCUCACCAAGGCGACGAUCCGUAGCUGGUUUGAGAGGACGACCAGCCACACUGGGACUGAGACACGGCCCAGACUCCUACGGAGGCAGUGGGGAAUUUUGGACAAUGGGGGGAAACCCUGAUCCAGCCAUCCUGGGCGUGUGCGAUGAAGGCCUUCGGGUUGUAAAGCACUUUUGGCAGGAAAGAAACGGCACGGGAUAACAUUCCCUGUGCAACUGACGGUACCUGCAGAAUAAGCACCGGCUAACUACGUGCCAGCAGCCGCGGUAAUACGUAGGUGCAAGUUGUUGUCUGGAAUUACUGGGCGUAAAGCGUGCGCAGGCGGUUCGAAAGAAAGAUGUGAAAUCCCAGAGCUUAACUUUGGAACUGCAUUUUUAACUACCGAUGAGUGUGAAGAGGGAGUGUGGAAUUCGCGUGUAGCAGUGAAAUGCGUAGAUAUGCGGAGGAACACCGAUGGCGAAGGCAGCCCUCCUGGGAUAACACUGACGCUCAUGCACGAAAGCGUGGGGAGCAAACAGGAUUAGAUACUCCUGGUAGUCCACGCCCUAAACGUCAACUAGCUGUUGGGGCCUUCGGGCCUUGGUAGCGCAGCUAACGCGUGGUUUGACCGCCUGGGGAGUACGGUCGCAAGAUUAAAACUCAAAGGAAUUGACGGGGACCCGCACAAGGUGGAUGAUGUGGAUUAAUUCGAUGCAACGCGAAAAACCUUACCUACCCUUGACAUGUCUGGAAUCCCGAAGAGAUUUGGGAGUGCUCGCAAGAGAACCGGAACACAGGUGCUGCAUGGCUGUCGUCAGCUCGUGUCGUGAGAUGUUGGGUUAAGUCCUGCAACGAGCGCAACCCUUGUCAUUAGUUGCUACGAAAGGGCACCUAAUGAGACUGCCGGUGACAAACCGGAGGAAGGUGGGGAUGACGUCAAGUCCUCAUGGCCCUUAUGGGUAGGGCUUCACACGUCAUACAAUGGUCGGGACAGAGGGUCGCCAACCCGCGAGGGGGAGCCAAUCCCAGAAACCCGAUCGUAGUCCGGAUCGCAGUCUGCAACUCGACUGCGGAAGUCGGAAUCGCUAGUAAUCGUGGAUCAGCAUGUCGCGGUGAAUACGUUCCCGGGUCUUGUACACACCGCCCGUCACACCGGCGGAGUGGGUUUUACCAGCAGUUAGCAGCCUAACUGUAAGGAGGGCGAUUACCACGGUAGGAUUCAUGACUGGGGUGAAGUCGUAACAAGGUAG